UUCAAGUACGGAACAUCCAAAUCACCGAGAUAUGCCUCAAUUUGGUGGUGUUUCAAGAUAAAAAUAAACUGAAGCAACGGAUUUCGAGUACUCAAAUUGUCAAAACAAAGCACGAGAUCUCAAAUUAUCAAUUGUUGGGGCAAGAAGAGAGUCAUGGCCUGGUAUACGCGCGUGACCUCGACAGCCUCCACCUCUCAGCCUCGCUGAGCUGCACGCACGCUCCUCGGCAGGUCUCCGCGCGCCACCACACUGAGUCCAGCACCACGCGUUGCGCCGUCCUCUCCCCGGUCCAGCUCCGCAUUCCGCCUCCGUUGCGGCGCGGCUCUUCUUCUCCAUGCCCGUCAAGGACGGCGUCUCCAUGCCGAUAGAGAUGGCCUGACCCCAGCGCCCGCUACCAGGGUGGAGCUCCUCCAGCCGCUGCUGCUUCCGCACGGAGGAAUUGGAGUUGUGGGGCGGCCGCGUUGUUGUCGGAGGAGUCCAGGGCUUCGACCAUGCCGGACGCUUGAGGUGCCGGCGGGCGGCGGGGUCUUCAACUUGGCGCCGAUGGACGAGCUUCCCGACGGCGGAGCGGUGGACUCGCGGAUGGGAGGUGAGCCGAAUCACUCGCCACCGACGCCUUGUGCAGGCUGCACAAGCCGGGAACGCAAAUGAAUCUUGUUCCCAGCAAUCUGGACCGCCCCUUUUGCAUACCGUAAGCCAUACCAAUCAAGUCUAACCUGCAGUAUACACUAUAGUAUUGCCCUCACUUUGUUCCUUGUCCCUCCCCUUCUCUUUUUCACUCUCACAUGAUUGUAGACUGUUAGGAUCAGAAGUCAGGAGCCAGUUUGGUAGGGCUCUAGGAACAGCUCUGGAGCCGUUUUUACCGAAGCUGUGCGAAAGAGAAAAAAGCAAAUGGCUUCGGUGGUGAAACCGGGGAGAAGCUCCUCAGUGGCUUCCACUAGGAGGGAGGAGCAAAAAAUUAUGACUCCUACCGGCUUCACCUCCACCUCCUAUGGUUCUUGGCAAGAAUACCCUUGACUAGCGGUGAAGGGAGGAAGGCAACUGCUGACGGCAUGUGCACGGCGGGGGCGCUUGCGCGGCUGGGUUUGAGAUGAGCGGCAACGACCGCAGCGCCGACGCAACACAUCGAUGGGGCGCAGCGGUGGAGGAGACUGGAUAUGCAAUGCGCGGUGCUGGACAGGUGUGGCUGGGCAUAGCGAAGCGCGCCGCUCACGGUGGGGAACGGAGGAAGCGAUGCAUCGAGAAGAAAGAGAUGAAUGAGAGGGGUGACGUGUGGUUUUGGUGGACCGGUUCCUUUGGAUAAGGAAGAAAACAAAUAAAGGGCCACACGAUAAGCGAGGAAAAGAAGGUGAGAAAAGAGAAAAAUAAAAAAGAGGAAAAGAGAAAAAUAUAAAAAUAAAAAUAUAAAGGGAAUGAAAAUAGAAAAAAGAAAUUAUUAGUUAAUCUAUAUUAUUUUAAUUAAUCAUUUUUGUUUCAAUUGAAACCACACUGUAAAUUGAUUAAAAUCAUAAUGCAAAAUAGUCAGGGGUAUAAUGGACAUUUGACAUCUUUAUCAACUCAUGGCAAAACAUGAGGAGCCAUUUUACCAAACGGUUUACAAAACGGCUCCAUCUACAUAACAGAAGUCGCUCCACCAGAGAAGUUAGAGCCGGAAUCGUUUUAGGAGGAGCCGGAGUCUUGCCAAAUGAGCCCUGGAUCUUUCUCGUAACCGUAGAGCUAUAUUAAUGAAUGGGUUUGCUCUUGCCAUGCUAGAUCCAAUUGGACAUUUUUCCUUGUUAUGUUUUUAAAUGUAAUAUUUUAUUUUUAGUUGCAUUUUCCUUUAAUUGUUUUUUUAAAAUAAUUGUUUGGCUCAAAACUUAUUUAAAAUUUUUAUAAUCUAUGUUGGGGAGAAUAUAUUUUUUAAAAGAUGGAUGUUUCUAUAAUAGAAAAGUUAUCGAGGGGAAACUUUUCAAAAAGAAAAGCCAAGAUUUGUUAAAAUGAUUUGGGAAAAAUAUUUUCUGAUUUUUUUUGAAACGUUUUGGAGAAAAGUUUGGCCUAAAUUUUUUUUGGAAAUGUUUUCCAAUAAAGGGAAGAUGUAGAGGAAAAUUUUUUGAAAAAAAAGGAAAUGAGGGUGGUUAGUAAAUCAAGCAUGAGUUGGAUAGUUGGCCAAGUGUAUGAAUAGUUUGGGAUGUAUAGGUAGCAUGCUACGAUGAUUUGUAAUACUGGAUAGUCUGUUUUCAUUUGAGGUUUCAAAAAUCUCAAAACGAUUAUUUUUUGAACAUGUUUUAUGGAUAUUCAAAUUAAUCACCACUUCUAUUGCCCGAAAACCAUCAGAGUCGAUGAUUUUGGGUCUCUUUCGGUUAACCUUGAAAUGUACAAGCAAACUCUCUUGAGGAACACAGGAUUGCAAAAUAGAUGAACAACAUAUAGCAUAUAACAUUUGUUUGGCCUGCAAGCUUUGGAAGUGGCCUUCUUAAUAAUCAAGGUAAAUUUUGAUCAACUCAACAAAGUUUCAGUUGCUAGACUAUCUGAUAUCGCGGCCGGCAGUUAAUUUCUCUCUCCUUAUUGUUGACAGGGUUGGUCUCUUCUUUUGUUUUCUGUAGUCAUCUAGCUGUACUUGCUUAUAUCUUCUAAAAAAAUUUCUGAGCAAAGCUGUGGUCACGGCACGGUACCGGACAACCCCCGCGAUACGUACAUGCGCGCAGCGCGCGUGGCGGCCGUGCCCAAACGUUUGACCAAGGGCUGCUGCUGCUUCCAAAUCCUAAGCAUAACAAAGAUCGCAAAGUACUACAGAAAAACGAAGACGGAUUCAAAGCCGUCCAGAAUUCCUGACCACCCAAGCGCGUCGCUCACGGCUCACCGACGCAAAAACGCGUACCGCAGCGUAGCCAGGAUUUUUUAUAGAGGGGGUCAUAAACAAUACUUAAUAGAUUACGUGUAGGAUAGACUACAUGUUUUUAUCAAGUGCACAAACAAAAAAAUAAUCAAUAUUUAUUCAAUCAAUCACUGUUUUGCGUGCUUACCUACUUAGAAAUGUAGUAGUAAUUGGUAUAUAUUUUGCAUGUUUGCACAAACAUUGGGGUCCAUGGCCCCUGCCAGCCCCUCCUUAGCUACGCCACUGGUAGGGGUGGUAAAGGUUCUCUAAUUUAGUCUAGCAAAUUUAAGGAUCAAGCUUAAUAAAGAUCAAGCUCUAAUAUUAUAUGAUUUUGAAUUAAAAAUAAAUAGGACUGAGUUGGAUUGUGAAGGAAGUAUGAAGGCUCGAUCCGUUACCACCCCUUCGUACCCGUCUAUAUAUUGGGCGAUCGCU
This 3286-nucleotide long non-coding RNA is filed under the name Setaria viridis. Its description in RNAcentral is "long non-coding RNA (SVIR_LNC008342)". Lineage: Eukaryota; Viridiplantae; Streptophyta; Magnoliopsida; Poales; Poaceae. The record is from RNAcentral.